RNAcentral lists this long non-coding RNA (3858 nucleotides) under Mus musculus (house mouse). RNAcentral's name for it is "long non-coding RNA chr18:13995577-13999435". The record is from RNAcentral. Lineage: Eukaryota; Metazoa; Chordata; Mammalia; Rodentia; Muridae.
AAAAAAAAAAAAAAAAAAAAAGCCACAAUAGUUGGAGGAGAGAGUGGGUUAUCUGUAAUGGUGUGAGGGAAGCAAGGUACCAGGAACACAGAGGUCAGGAGCAUGCCCAAGGCCUCUGACUGGUCAAGGCUUCUGUCCCGAGUCUCAGCUCCACUCUCUUCUCAAAUGUUGCAGAAUGUCUGUGAGUGUUCAUGUUUUUAAGACAGGUUGAUUUGGUUGUGCUCAUUAAGCAACAUCGGCCUGAUGACCCACUCCCUCUGCUGUUUUAGAACAGUCAGUGAUGAUUGCAGAGAAGUUGACUCAUCCAUCUUGUCCAGGAGACCUAAGAGAAAAGUUUUCUAGAGUCUCAGUGAGCCUUCCUCGACAGCGUUGUCUAUGUCCUGAUUCCCAUGUCUCUCUAAGACUUCGCAUCCUCUUUAAGUCUUCUAUCAAGAACACCUGUGUUAGCCUCCAGGAGGCUGAAUAGCUUUUCAAAAAUCUAGUUGAAAGGCACACACAUUCACUCAAUAAGUACUUUCUGAGAGUACCGCUGAAGUACUUGGUCACAGACUUAAGGAGCCCUUCCUCUGCCACACUGAUUGAGCCACAUUUUGCUGUGGUCAUCUCCAGACUCUGCUUACAUCUCAGGCAAGUGAACGGUUAGACCCGUGAGCCUUGGCCUCUCAUGAGUAAUGGCAGAUGCAUGCAUGGGUGAUGACAAUAAAUGUUGUUUCGAUGCUUCCCUUGUCCCGGUGUCUAUAGGUUAAAGGCAAUGAACUUCAUCUGCAUGUGAUGUCUUCUGACCUCAUUGUUGAUGGAUGAGUGAAAACACAGUGGCCCAGCAGGUGUGAAAUAUCAGCAUCAGCAGCCAUUAUCCUCAUUGCAACGUCAGUGGAGUAACUAAUAAUCUGCCUUAUUCUCACAUGCCUGGGUGGGAGCAGGCCUUAAAUGUAAUGCUCAAAUAACCCAUCCCUGCUGCCCACUGAUCUGUUAAAUUUCCUACAUGUGUAGAAUCUGACUGUUGUCGGUCUACCGUGGGAAUUCCUGGGAACUCCCAAUGUUCUUGAGGGGCUAUAUCCAACUUGGGCAACAAUUUUAACGUCACUGGACGAGAGAAAAACAGUUGAUAAAAACAAAAUAAAUCAUGUGGGUGGGCCUCCAUCAUUUCAUUCUUCUCCCUCCUUUCUCCACCCUAAUAGCCAUUUUUCUCUUUACAGGACUUUUUUUUGUUUUGUUUUUUUUUUGUUUUUUUUUGUUUUUUUUUUUUUUUUUGUUCCUAGAACAAUUGUUAACUUGUAGCGACAGUCAGGGUCUGGAGUGUCCCCUCCUCUCUCAUAGCACCUCGUGGUCUGGAAUCUCCUCAGCACCUUUCGCACACCACAUUAGGUUAACAUAUUUCCCUGUUUUCAAACAGGCAGGCCUUGCUACAUUGUUUUGCUUCUUUGCUCCUCCCUUUUCAGGUGAAGUCUUGCUAUCACAGUCCAGGAUGCCCUAGUACUCUCUAGUCCUCCUGCCUCAGCCUCCCAAGAGCUGGAAUAUCAGGGUGUGCCACUGAAUCAAGGUCAUGACACUCUAUUUUUUUUACAACAAAACCAAACCAGUGAUUGGUUCUCAGAAUAAAGGCGUCACAGCAGCAGGAACACAACUCCUGGAUACUGCAACUCUCGGAACUACGGAUUGGGAGAGUUGCCCUUUAUCAGUCUCCAGAUAAUUCUGAUUAUUCCUUUGUGAAAAACACCUUGGGUAGUUUCCUAUUUUUCUAGAGCUACUUUCGAGCUAUCUCCUUCCUUUAUCUGUCCAAGGUCUCUAUGGAGCAAACCACUAAUUUCCAUUAAUUUCUCAGCUUUGAUUUGUUUAGAAACCCCCACCACUUACCACCAUCACCUCAAAUCCAAGUCACUAGCUAGAGGUUGGUGGCAGGACACACAUUGGAAUUAAAAACACAUGACUUGGAAUAGUAAUCCCAGAUGCUCAGCUUUGAAACGUGAGCAAAGCACUUACCUCCUUAGGCCUCAGUGCCACCAACUGAAAAGUGGGUAAAUACCGCCUCUACUUUAUUAUAGAGACGGAAUAAAAUCAUGGCAUUAGAGUAUCAUGCAUUAUGGAGUAGAAGCUUAAUAAUUGCUGACUUCAAAUGAAACGGCUACACAUAUUUGGUGGAUACUUUAGAAACAGACUUGCUAAGAUUUUGUGGACUGUGGAGUGAGAGUUUUUUUUUUUCUUUUCUAUUUUUUUUUUUGAAAGCUUAUUAAAUGUUCAUUUACUUGUUUUACAUGGAGUUUCAUUCUGUUUGUCCCACCCUCACCCCAGUGGGGUGGGAAGCCUCAAUAUUGUUUGAAAGACAUUUUUAAAAUUAUACAGAAAAUUAGCUGAAACAAUCCAAUGAAGAAUUGCCUGUGCUACUUCAUCAGUUUUACAGAUACAAUGAAUUAAAAUGGAUCAUAAAAGGGAUUCAAUGUGUCCAAAGGAAUCCUAUGGCUUGCGAUGGAACUAGAAUUCAAAAUCACAACUGUGAUUUCUACCAUUUGUAUCAUCAGGAAUUUAAAUAUUAACUAUGUUCAUAUAUAUGUAUGUAUACAUAUAUGUGUAUACACACACACACACACGGUGGUGUACACAUCAUCAGAAAAUUAAAUAUUACACACACACAUGAGGCCAGGCAUGGUGGCAUACACCUUUAAUCCCUGCACCCAAGAGACAGAAGCAGGUGUAACUGUGAAUUUGAGGCCAGCUCCUACAUAAGGAUGAAACUCCUUAUGAUGAGUCAGAGUUGCACAGUGAGGCUGUAUCAAAAAAAAAAAAAAAAAAAAAAAGCACAAAACCACACACACCCACACAUGCACACACACACACACACACUAUUGGGCACCAUCUCAGUUGUGUGUGUCUUGUAUGUCCAGAUGCACACUUGGGUCUCCUGUCUCCUCAGGCAUGUGUGUAAUCUGCUGUACUCCUGUGCACCUUUCCACGUGGCGACACCAAGCAUUCUUGUGCCAUAGGCAUCUUGUGAGAUACUCCUGGGACCAUUUCAGUGGGAUGUGACACAGUUGAAAUAUUGCUAUCCGGCUCUUAUCUGAAGCUUCAAUUGUUACUCAGCUACCUACACUACAAGCCUUCAUUUUUCUUUAUAGCCUUCUGAAAGGUUUCACUGUCAGUGAGAUUAUGGGGUGAUUUCCUAGCUUUUCAGUAUUUUCUUUCCUCUUUGGUAACAUGAUUUUUUUAAUGAGUGUUCUCCCUAGGGAAUUAAUUAUUACCUUGAAGAGUAUAUUCACAUAGUUCCAUCAAAACAACUUAAAAUUAUCAAAACCUUGACAGACACACUGUGUAGCUUUUAAAACUCAAGUCAUCUAUGCAUGGAAUUUUUUUCCCAACUCUAUUGACUCAGAAAUUUUUAUUUGGGGCAAAAGACAUUUUUUUUCUGCCGUUCCCUUAGCUCUCUUACGCUCUCUUUGUUAAGCACAGAAAGUAUUUGUGUGUGUGUGUGUGUGUGUGUGUGUUUAGUUGCUGCUAUCUAGUAGGAACAUGCUAGAGCACACAGACUUUCUUUAGUUCUGAGUGAGCUGACACCUGUAACAUGCCCAUGGCUUCUCAUCACCACACAGCCUAACUUUGUUCAGGUGAGGCACAUUAUCUGUCAACCUGAAGGUUAGUAAUGACUGUUAACUCGACAGGAUCUAGAAUCAACUGGAGACACACCUGUGGGCAUGCUAAGAGGGAGCUCUUUCUGUGUUAACUGAGGUAGGAAGACUCCUCUAACUGUAAGUGGCUCCACAUACACACAUGCAUUUUUGUAUGCCAGGAUGGUCUGUACUUUCAAACUGUAAGCCAAACUAAAGCUUUUUAAAGUUACUUUUGUCAAAUAUUUUGUUACAGCGAUGA